Acinonyx jubatus (cheetah) is the source of this 453-nucleotide non-coding RNA. Lineage: Eukaryota; Metazoa; Chordata; Mammalia; Carnivora; Felidae. The record is from the annotation of a RefSeq genome assembly.
AUGGUGGAGCCUGUAGUGCCUUCUGCCCCGCCUCUGAUUUCAGCCUCCACUGCUGUGCACAGACCCAUGGAUGCUGAAAUCACCCAGAACCCAAGAUACAAGGUCACAGGGACAGGAAAGAGGGUGAUUCUAAAAUGUGACCAGACUGAGAACUAUGAUUAUAUGUACUGGUAUCGACAAGACCCGGGGCACGGGCUGAAGCUGAUCUACUAUUCAAACGGUUUUGACAGCAUUAACAGAGGAGAUGUCCCCGAUGGACAGACCUCAGGGCAAGGACUGAAGCAGCUGGUUUACUUCAACAAUCAAGCUUCUAUAGAUGACUCCGGAAUGCCCAGUGACCGCUUCUCAGCCAAGAUGCCUGAGAAAUCACCCUCCACCCUGGAGAUCCAACGCACAGAACCCGGCGACUCGGCCACAUACCUGUGUGCCAGCAGUUUAGACACAGUGCUGUAG